AACGCGAAGAACCUUACCUACUCUUGACAUCCAGAGAACUUAGCAGAGAUGCUUUGGUGCCUUCGGGAACUCUGAGACAGGUGCUGCAUGGCUGUCGUCAGCUCAUGUUGUGAAAUGUUGGGUUAAGUCCCGCAACGAGCGCAACCCUUAUCCUUUGUUGCCAGCGAUUAGGUCGGGAACUCAAAGGAGACUGCCAGUGAUAAACUGGAGGAAGGUGGGGAUGACGUCAAGUCAUCAUGGCCCUUACGAGUAGGGCUACACACGUGCUACAAUGGCAUAUACAAAGAGAAGCGACCUCGCGAGAGCAAGCGGACCUCAUAAAGUAUGUCGUAGUCCGGAUUGGAGUCUGCAACUCGACUCCAUGAAGUCGGAAUCGCUAGUAAUCGUGGAUCAGAAUGCCACGGUGAAUGCGUUCCCGGGUCUUGUACACACCG
RNAcentral lists this ribosomal RNA (434 nucleotides) under uncultured bacterium. RNAcentral describes it as "bacterial SSU rRNA". It matches the Rfam family "Bacterial small subunit ribosomal RNA", at positions 958 to 1392 of the family's 1533-position model. The record is from RNAcentral.